Molecule: ribosomal RNA, 270 nt
Filed under: uncultured bacterium
Lineage: Bacteria
Description: partial 16S ribosomal RNA
Rfam family: Bacterial small subunit ribosomal RNA
Source: RNAcentral
AACGAACGCUGGCGGCGCGCCUAAUACAUGCAAGUCGAACGAGAAGGUGUAGCAAUACACUUGUACAGUGGCGAACGGGUGAGGAAUGCAUGGGUAACCUACCCUCGAGUGGGGAAUAACCAGCCGAAAGGUUGGCUAAUACCGCGUACGCUUCCGGGUCUCCGGACUCGGAAGGAAAGUCAUACCAUGGGUAUGACGCUCAAGGAUGGGCUCAUGUCCUAUCAGCUUGUUGGUGAGGUAACGGCUCACCAAGGCAACGACGGGUAGCUG